AUGCUUUGGAAGAAGCUUGUACAGUUUGGGAAGGGGUUUUCUGAGAGAAAAGAAGAAUCUACUUCAACUGAUAUGCCCUUAGGCACGGCCAUGCAUAACAUAGAAAUCACAUGUGGAAGGGGUGGGCAAUUAGCUAGAGCAGCAGGUGCUGUAGCGAAACUCAUUGCAAAAGAGGGUAAAUCGGCCACUUUAAGAUUACCAUCUGGGGAUGUCCAUUUAGUAUCCCAAAACUGCUUAGCAACAGUCGGACAAGUGGGUAAUGUUGGGGUGAACCAAAAAAGUUUGGGUAGAGCCGGAUCUAAGUGUUGGCUAGGUAAACGCCCCGUAGUAAGAGGGGUAGUUAUGAACCCUGUGGACCACCCCCAUGGGGGCGGUGAAGGGAAAGCUCCCAUUGGUAGAAAAAAACCCACAACCCCUUGGGGUUAUCCUGCGCUUGGAAGAAGAACUAGGAAAAGGAAAAAAUAUAGCGAUAGUUUUAUUCUUCGUCGCCGUAAGUAA
RNAcentral lists this ribosomal RNA (498 nucleotides) under Triticum aestivum (bread wheat). RNAcentral's name for it is "partial small subunit ribosomal RNA". Lineage: Eukaryota; Viridiplantae; Streptophyta; Magnoliopsida; Poales; Poaceae. The record is from RNAcentral.